GACGAACGCUGGCGGCGUGCUUAACACAUGCAAGUCGAACGGAAAGGCCCUGCUUUUGUGGGGUGCUCGAGUGGCGAACGGGUGAGUAACAAGUGAGUAACCUGCCCUUGACUUUGGGAUAACUUCAGGAAACUGGGGCUAAUACCGGAUAGGAGCUCCUGCUGCAUGGGGGGGGUUGGAAAGUUUCGGCGGUUGGGGAUGGACUCGCGGCUUAUCAGCUUGUUGGUGGGGUAGUGGCUUACCAAGGCUUUGACGGGUAGCCGGCCUGAGAGGGUGACCGGCCACAUUGGGACUGAGAUACGGCCCAGACUCCUACGGGAGGCAGCAGUGGGGAAUAUUGCACAAUGGGCGGAAGCCUGAUGCAGCAACGCCGCGUGCGGGAUGACGGCCUUCGGGUUGUAAACCGCUUUCGCCUGUGACGAAGCGUGAGUGACGGUAAUGGGUAAAGAAGCACCGGCUAACUACGUG
RNAcentral lists this ribosomal RNA (468 nucleotides) under uncultured bacterium. RNAcentral describes it as "partial 16S ribosomal RNA". It matches the Rfam family "Bacterial small subunit ribosomal RNA", at positions 28 to 507 of the family's 1533-position model. The record is from RNAcentral.